ACAUACAUACAUAUGUACAUACAAAAGCAAUAGAAAUUCUCAUUUCUCUCUUUUUAAAGCAAUAACUUUGAUAAAGUAGCGAGUAUUGGUAAAUUUGAACCGGCGAUUUUAUGCGCUCAUUAAGCAUCACACACACCAACAAAGCUCAAUUAGUUAAAGAAGACAAAAUCAGGUGGUUGCAGUAGCAACAAGAAAUUAUGAGCGCACAGACAAUAAAAAGCAGAACAAUUGCAAGGCAAUGCAUACAUACAUACAUAUGCACAUAUAAAUCAGUUCAGUUGUAGAAAAAUACAUAUGUACAUACAUACACAUAAUGAGAAUCAAUGCAACUAAUUAGCGAAUAUCAGCAUAAAGUGUAAUUGAGAGUCAGAGAUCAACUAAUUGGCACUCUCAGCAACACCUCAGCAACAAAAUAUGCAGCUAUGCCAUCAAUAACGGACCUAUGCAUUCCUUCUUUCGUGAAUUGCAGCGAGUAAAACGAAAAUUGUGGUGUAAAAAUUAUUGCGUCUUGCAAAAUUGUUAAUUAAAAACUGAAUUUAAAUGUGAAAAAGUAACUCAAGUGAAUAUUGAAACUGUUGUGAACAAUUACCUACUACGUUCAGGUGUCAUGUUCAUUCAUGUUGCUGAUGCAGAAAAAAGCGUACCUGUGCGAAAAAAUGCGUGGCGUACUCUUCACAUGAAUUUUCGAAACAUUUGAAGAAUUUGAAUUUGGUGGCAGUUAGUUACUCACCGAUUGGCAGCACGCACGCGUAGAGCAUCGAGACCGAACCGAAAAGUUCCGUGGAUUUGGCAGCGCUCAGGAAACGCGUCGCAUCUGUGGGUCCUUGAAAGAGAAAAAGGAGGAAAAGAGAAGGAGAAAAACCAACAAUUAAAAGUGUGGGUUGAUAAAAGUGCAGCAAUAAUAAAACCCUACAAAGUAAAUUUGUCCGACGUAUUAGCCCUUGGAUGUUAACAAGCACUAACAGCCGUCAUAAAGGCACGGACAGCGCUUCAAUCACGUUUCUAACGGCAAUAAAGCCUUCGCCGCCCUCGCUUGUGACUCACCUGGUGGACAGACGUCAAUGAAACGCGUGAGGAAGCCGAGCGUGGCCAGCAAUGAGAGCACCACGCUUUGAUGACUUUCGAUGCACUCGCGUAUCUUCAUGCAGCGCCGCGAC
Long non-coding RNA from Zeugodacus cucurbitae (melon fly), 1157 nucleotides. RefSeq lists it as uncharacterized. The record is from RefSeq and is a predicted model, not a curated record. NCBI's taxonomy places the organism in Eukaryota, Metazoa, Arthropoda, Insecta, Diptera, Tephritidae. The transcript is spliced from 5 exons.